This is a non-coding RNA of Oryctolagus cuniculus (rabbit), 688 nucleotides long. NCBI's taxonomy places the organism in Eukaryota, Metazoa, Chordata, Mammalia, Lagomorpha, Leporidae. The record is from RefSeq and is a predicted model, not a curated record.
GAGAAUCCAUCGGGUAGGGAUGUUGGGAAGGAGGGGAGAUGAGAGAAUAUGAAAGGGUCCAGUUGGGGAAAGGCUUUGGUGGCACUGACAUGGGAUGUCAUGGGAUGGGAGUCAAACAUCCUGGCUAGCGCCCUGGCCCUGAGGGCUGACUUGUUCGGGACCCCAGGGCCUGGGAUCUAAAACCAGGGGAAGGAUGGAAAUUUCCCAACAGUCAAAAAUAAAUCGAAAGCCUGCAGGCUGGAAGUGGAAACCUAUGACGCUGUGCUUACACUACUCCAGGAUCCAGGAAGGGCCAGAGCUGAACGGCGUGAAUUCAGUGCCAGUGAGCUGCUCACUCAUUCCUUCCACAGGCCUUGAGGAGCGUGACUGGCCCUGGUAGGGGACAGAGGAGAGGGUCACCGCCAUCAUCUUGCAGACAUACGCUCAUUACUUCCUCUUAUCUUCACCCCAGCCCUGAAAAUCCUGCCCUCAAGUGGCAGAUGAGGAACCUGAGGCUCAAAAAAAAGUAGUGGCCCAUCGGAGCUGAAGCUGAGACUUCGGAAUGUCAAAUUUGCCCUCACUCUGAAAGCUUUCUUAUGGGCCAGUCUGUAUGUGAAGGGGACCCACGGAGAAGUCAAAUCUGAGUCCUUAUCAUUGGGAAGUCCCCCAUCUGAUGGGGAAGGCAUAAAGCAAAUCAUUAGGCCCUGGA